UUCAUCAUUUUUAUUUUCAAUCCUAAUACAAUUAAAAUUUCUUAAAUUAAGGGAUUGAUAUUAAUGGGCUAACAUAACAAAUUAGUUUCGAUCUUCAUUCGGUCUCUCUCUAUCCGCCUUUACUAUUUCUCUCUCUUCUCCCUUACUACUUAUCUCUCUCCCAUACUACUUCUCUCUCUCCUCUCGAAGCCACUGGUCGUCGUUCUCUUCCGCCGCCGCCGCGAACAAUAC
This 231-nucleotide long non-coding RNA is filed under the name Panax ginseng (ginseng). RNAcentral describes it as "long non-coding RNA (PGIN_LNC001977)". Lineage: Eukaryota; Viridiplantae; Streptophyta; Magnoliopsida; Apiales; Araliaceae. The record is from RNAcentral.